This 261-nucleotide ribosomal RNA is filed under the name uncultured bacterium. RNAcentral's name for it is "partial 16S ribosomal RNA". It matches the Rfam family "Bacterial small subunit ribosomal RNA", at positions 524 to 784 of the family's 1533-position model. The record is from RNAcentral.
UACGGAGGGUGCAAGCGUUGUUCGGAAUUACUGGGCGUAAAGCGCGCGUAGGCGGUUUGCUAAGUCAGAUGUGAAAGCCCAUGGCUCAACCAUGGACGUGCAUUUGAAACUGGCAGACUUGAGUAUUGGAGGGGGUGGUGGAAUUCCCGGUGUAGAGGUAAAAUCCGUAGAUAUCACUAGGAAUACCUAAAGCGAAGGCGAUCUCCUGGAACAUUACUGACGCUAAGGCGUGAAAGCGUGGGGAGCAAACAGGAUUAGAAA